UGCUCCUCAUCGUCCCUUGGAUGGACGGUGUUUGAGGGAGUCUCAUGUAGCUUCCCUCCCACCACCCAAGACAUGUUCUUGUGCCUCGGCUCUCUUUGCCUCUGCAUCUGCAUGCACAGGUCUGAGAUCAUAGGUGUGUGCCUUAGGCUUGGAUUCUUUUCUCUUCUUUUUUAAUAAAAGAGAGUCCUACACUGUAGGUCAGGCUGACCUGGACAUCAUUAGUUAUUACGUAGCCCAGGCUGGACUUGAAUUUGUGGCCCUUCUCUGGACUCAGCUUCCUGAUUCAUAGGAUUGCAGAUGUGUCCCAGCAGCCCCAUAACUAACUCCAAAUGAGUUUCGUUUUCACUUUCGUUUUGUUUCUGUAAUUGUUAGUGUUAACUGUCCAUUGUCAGAAUCUAGGCUCAUAUGAGAGCUGGGCCUUGGCCAUGCUGUGGGAGGUCGUCUUGCUUAGGUUUACUAAGGUAAGUGGGAGCACUGGGGGUGGGGGGGGAUGUCAUUGCUUGUGCUGGGACCACUGUGCCCCCUAACUGUGACCAGCUGCUUCAGGCUGCUUCUGCUUUCACCCACUGCCGUGAUGGUGUGAGAUGGCCUCAGAAGCCAGGAGAGUGCUGGGCUCCUUGGAAGUGGAAUAAAGAAGCUAUGACCCACCGUAUGGAUUUCAGUGCUCCUGUCUUCCGUCGGUGA
Molecule: long non-coding RNA, 684 nt
Filed under: Rattus norvegicus (Norway rat)
Lineage: Eukaryota; Metazoa; Chordata; Mammalia; Rodentia; Muridae
Description: long non-coding RNA NONRATT031618
Source: RNAcentral